This 459-nucleotide ribosomal RNA is filed under the name uncultured bacterium. Its description in RNAcentral is "partial 16S ribosomal RNA". It matches the Rfam family "Bacterial small subunit ribosomal RNA", at positions 338 to 795 of the family's 1533-position model. The record is from RNAcentral.
CCUACGGGUGGCAGCAGUGAGGAAUAUUGGUCAAUGGGCGGGAGCCUGAACCAGCCAAGCCGCGUGAGGGAAGAAGGUACAGCGUAUCGUAAACCUCUUUUGUCAGGGAACAAAGGCGGGGACUAGUCCCCGGAUGAGGGUACCUGAAGAAAAAGCAUCGGCUAACUCCGUGCCAGCAGCCGCGGUAAUACGGAGGAUGCGAGCGUUAUCCGGAUUUAUUGGGUUUAAAGGGUGCGCAGGCGGCCUGUUAAGUCAGCGGUAAAAGCCCGGGGCUCAACCCCGGCGAGCCGUUGAAACUGGAAGACUUGAGUGUGUUUGAGGUAGGCGGAAUGCGUGGUGUAGCGGUGAAAUGCAUAGAUAUCACGCAGAACUCCGAUUGCGAAGGCAGCUUACUAAGCCAUAACUGACACUGAAGCACGAAAGCGUGGGGAUCAAACAGGAUUAGAUACCCUAGUAGUC